Molecule: long non-coding RNA, 570 nt
Organism: Ipomoea triloba (trilobed morning glory)
Lineage: Eukaryota; Viridiplantae; Streptophyta; Magnoliopsida; Solanales; Convolvulaceae
Exons: 4
Source: RefSeq, a predicted model, not a curated record
AGGACGCCAGUGCACAACCUCAUCUUCCACCACCACCACUCUUCCUACACCGCCGCUGAUGCUACUACGAGAUGCUACUACGAAAGACUAGGCAAUCUCCUGCCUUCGCCGACCCGUCAGAUGUACCUUUUGUUGGCUCUCUAAAACCCUAGGGUUUCCUCCUCUCAGAUGAGUGCAGCUCGAAGUUGAAAAUUUAUCCAAUCGUGCAGAAGGUCUAUCUAGAGAGAAUUCUGAGAAAACCUGGAAUUGACUUGUUAGAUUCGACAGAUGAAGGCUAAUCACUUUGUAGUUCAUUGCUCCCUUUCUUUUGAGUCUCAAACAUAAUUCACUCAUUCUUCUGGCCUCAAAAUUAUCAAUUGAGGACUGUAUGGCAUGCCAUGACCUUUUUGAGGCCCUUCUGAUUGACCAUCCUCAGAGUUUAUACUAUUCGUACUUUGUCAUCCAAGUUGGGCUGUCCGGAGAGCAGCUUAUAAUUCUGUGAAAAAGAUUAUAGGUGCUAUCCCACAGUGACUGAAGCCAUAAUGCUUGAAUUUUCAAAUUAUCUCUCCGCUGUUGGUGAAAAGAACUUUU